UAAUACCGGCGCCCCAAGUGGUAGUCGCUUUUAUUGGGCCUAAAACGUCCGUAGCCGGUCUGGUACAUUCGUGGGUAAAUCAACCAGCUCAACUGGUUGAAUUCUGCGAGCACGGCCAGACUUGGGACCGGGAGAGGUGUGGGGUACUCUCAGGGUAGGGGUAAAAUCCUGUCAUCCUGAGGGGACCACCUGUUGCGAAGGCGCCACACUAGAACGGAUCCGACGGUCAGGGACGAAGCCUAGGGGCACGAACCGGAUUAGAUACCCGGGUAGUCCUAGGUGUAAACGCUGUGGACUUGAUGUUGGGGGCGCUCCGAGCGCACUCAGUGUCGAAGCGAAGGUGAUAAGUCCACUGCCUGGGGAGUACGGUCGCAAGGCUG
Molecule: ribosomal RNA, 380 nt
Filed under: uncultured euryarchaeote
Lineage: Archaea; Methanobacteriati; Methanobacteriota
Description: bacterial SSU rRNA
Rfam family: Archaeal small subunit ribosomal RNA
Source: RNAcentral